UACGUAGGGGGCAAGCGUUGUCCGGAAUCAUUGGGCGUAAAGAGCGUGUAGGCGGCUCGGUAAGUCCGCUGUGAAAGUCCAGGGCUCAACCCUGGAAUGCCGGUGGAAACUGUCGAGCUAGAGUCCGGAAGAGGCGAGUGGAAUUCCUGGUGUAGCGGUGAAAUGCGCAGAUAUUGGGAAGAACACCGGUGGCGAAGGCGGCUCACUGGCUCGUAACUGACGCUCAUGCACGACAGCGUGGGGAUCAAACAGG
RNAcentral lists this ribosomal RNA (253 nucleotides) under uncultured bacterium. Its description in RNAcentral is "partial 16S ribosomal RNA". It matches the Rfam family "Bacterial small subunit ribosomal RNA", at positions 524 to 776 of the family's 1533-position model. The record is from RNAcentral.